RNA transcript from Triticum aestivum (bread wheat), 2933 nucleotides. RefSeq lists it as uncharacterized. The transcript has 3 exons. NCBI's taxonomy places the organism in Eukaryota, Viridiplantae, Streptophyta, Magnoliopsida, Poales, Poaceae. The record is from RefSeq and is a predicted model, not a curated record.
GCCUCAAGAAGCCAAAAUAUCCCCCUUUCUCCCGAAGCAUCUCCGGUCCAAGAUUCAUAUGCGCUCACCCCCCAGUCCUGCCGUUCCUGACCACUGUUCGCCUCCAAGCCACCCCGUCGUGCCCCCUGCCGGACUGUUGUGUCCCACCGCCGCCCGUCUCCCCGCCACCCACCCUGUCCCCUUCCGCACCUACGCCCCAUCGUGUCCCCCGCCCAACCACCGCACUGCCUCUCCUCCGCCUCGCCGUGUCAGCCGCUGCAUCACCGCACUAUUGUUGUGUGCUCCGUCGCUUGGCCGUGCCCCAUGCCGCACUGCGCAGUCGUGCCCCCUCUUCUUCCCCUUCCAUACCUUCAGUGCUCCAAUGGAACCAUGGCCACGCAGCCGGGAUGGCGCCCCCUCCCCCUGGUGACCUUGCCCCGGCUGGUAGCUGGACUACCACCAGAUCUACCUAACAUCGUAGCCCCUCCUUCUCUCCGACAGGUUCCCUUUAUCUCUCUCGCUCUAUGGUUUUACUUGCGUGCCAGAACUCGUGCUACCAUCAAGAAAUUUUCCACAUUACAUAUUGUCAAUGCCUGCUCACUGUAGAGAAAUAUGUUUCUUUCAUUGUAAAUCUGAAUAUUCAGGAGAUCGAUAGACUACAUGGGGAUAAUCAUGUGACAUUAUUUCUGAACUAUUAUCAAGUAGUCAUUAUUAAUUCGAGUACAAUUGCAUAAUCUACCCAGUAGUUAUAUACAUUCUAUUCGGUAAAAAAGAGUAAGUUUAGAAAAUUAGAAAUAGAUUGACAUGGUCUUACCGAUGGUCAUGGUCUAAUGGUUGAUGGAUACCAUCAUCUAAUUCAAGCUCUUGCGCAGAGAAACUUCUUGAGGUGAUGUUAUGUAGUUUGAGAUUAUCAAUGUACUCCCUCCGUAAAGAAAUAUAAGAGCAUUUAGAUCACUAAAGAGUAAUCUAAACGCUCUUAUAUUUCUGUACAGAGGGAGUACUUGCGAUUCUUUGGAACUAACCACCAAUGUUUUUAUGGCGUAACGCGUUUUAUGGCGACCAACCCCCUUUAUAACAUUAUAAUGAUUAUGGUGUAUGGCGUGGCGACAGCAUAAACACUAUCUUAUGACGAAUGUUAGCAAAUUAAAUCAGUAGUAAAUGAGUACAUGACUACAUGGUUUGCCCAUGUAGUACAGAUUGUUUUCCCACCUGCUUGUCUCCUUUUCUCCAAAGCAGAGUGCAUGAACAAUGAAAAAUAAGUCCGUAUUCCACAACAUAAUAAUGACAGCAAGUUGCAAUUCUAUAUAUAGCAGCAGCCAGUACAUGUACAUGAGAAAUUCAGAAAACAUAAGAGAAGAAACAGAGCACAACAGAGACGGGUAGGGGGAGGAAGAAUAGGGAGAAGGGGAGAGAGGGGAGGGGAUAAGUAGCAUACUUUGCUGAUCUGAUGGCCUGAUGCACGUACCAGCAAGUGGUGGCCGGAUUGGAGCCUAGUCCGCCAAGGUGGCCUGCCCUGCAGCUCGUGGAUCUGGAGUUCGAGCACGAGCUGAAGCAGGAGAGCAUGCACAACAACACACAGAUCAUGCCAUCAUUAAUUUCAGGACCAUAAUCUCACACUGGAUACUGCUGCACAAGAUUUGAAUCUAAUGCGUGACCAGGUGCUACAUGAUAUAUGGAGUUUUAUCAGUGCAUCUGGAAGUAGCUUGCUCAGCUUGUCACUCCAGGUCCAGGGCAGCCAACCUCUUGAUCCUUAAUGUUUCUUUUGUUAGCUAGUGUUUACACUGCCAAGGUUAGUGUUUUAGGCAGUUGAUUGCUAUUGUUUUAGUUUUUCUUUGUUCAGAUAAGUUCUGACAAUAUAGUGCUUGAUAUGGACCUUAUUACGAAGUGUUUUAUGUAUCAUUUACUCCCUCUGUGUCAAAAAACGUCUUACAUUUUGUGACGGAGGGAGUACUAAAUACUUGGGUAACCAUUGACUAUAGGGCCACAUGUUUUGCAACCUGAUGUUGGCCACAGGUUACUCCUUUACACCCGCCUUGGAAGUCAAGCUGAACAUUUAUUUCCUUCUCGGUAGCACCACUAUGUGCAUAAGUGUUCUCUGUUAGAUGUUAGUGAUUUCCACUGCUUAGUCUAGUUUUUUGAAUGGUUUGUACUGCAAAAAAAUGUUCUCAUGUUUUUUCCGGUUCUAGUGAUUGCCUUUCUUUUCCCUGAAAUCCGCCAUUAGAUACAGUCCAUUUUUGGAUAGCACCCACUAGUUAUACUUUACUAUCUGAAUUUAUAUAUCUUGUAGUAAUUCAGUUUCUUUGUUUCAGGAACCACUUGAUGGAUACAACGAGUGUCACUUUCCACCGGAGGUACCCUCUCUUCGACUCAUCGUUAGAGGAUUGUACAGCCUAUGUAUUCCACGGAAUGAUAUACACUGAUCUGAACCAGAACCCACUUAUUGUGCCGUUGGAGAUUCUUCAUGGCCAUCUAAGUUCAGAUAGAAGAGGGGUUUUGGAUUAAAAAUUCCACCUGAGGCAGCCGUGGUUGUUCACUGCUAGUGCUGACUCGGUGAUUAGGCCCUACUGCGAGUGAUGAUGAUGGUGCUUUUAAAGGAGCAUUUGGUUUUUCCCGGCGAUUUUGACAUGAUGAUGAUGAUGAUGUUGUGUUGUUUUGACAAGAGUCACAAACCAGAGACUGGAGGGAAGGAUUGUGUCUGUUUGAAGACCAACUUGGUGCAUGUAUAGAUAACAUGUUGCUACAAGUUUUGUGUAGUACCAGAUACUUCGGCUUGACAACGCCUGUACUGGUGAUUUAGGUAUUCUGCUAGUUAUAGCAUAUAGCUUUCUCUUUUUCAAAAGUCUGGCUCUGUACUGAACUGGAGUCCGAUUAUGUGUAAUUGACCAUGAAUGUGAUGUGGACGUUCAAUUCUGGCUAUAAUUUAUAAAUUUGAAUUAUGGCGCAAAAUUUAAUUA